CAAUAGCGUAUAUUAAAGUUGUUGCGGUUAAAAAGCUCGUAGUUGGAUUUCUGCUGAGAACGACCGGUCCGCCCUCUGGGUGUGUAUCUGGCUCUUUCUUGGCAUCUUCUUGGUGAACGUUGCUGCACUUGACUGUGUGGAGCGCUACCCAGGACUUUUACUUUGAGGAAAUUAGAGUGUUUCAAGCAGGCAUACGCCUUGAAUACAUUAGCAUGGAAUAAUAAGAUAGGACCUCGGUUCUAUUUUGUUGGUUUCUAGAGCUGAGGUAAUGAUUAAUAGGGAUAGUUGGGGGCAUUCGUAUUUAGCUGUCAGAGGUGAAAUUCCUGGAUUUGUUAAAGACGGACUACUGCGAAAGCAUUUGCCAAGGAUGUUUUCAUUGA
This 380-nucleotide ribosomal RNA is filed under the name uncultured eukaryote. RNAcentral's name for it is "partial 18S ribosomal RNA". It matches the Rfam family "Eukaryotic small subunit ribosomal RNA", at positions 592 to 976 of the family's 1831-position model. The record is from RNAcentral.